This 254-nucleotide ribosomal RNA is filed under the name uncultured bacterium. RNAcentral's name for it is "partial 16S ribosomal RNA". It matches the Rfam family "Bacterial small subunit ribosomal RNA", at positions 524 to 776 of the family's 1533-position model. The record is from RNAcentral.
UACGUAGGGGGGCUAGCGUUGUCCGGAAUCAUUGGGCGUAAAGCGCGUGUAGGCGGCCCGGUAAGUCCGCUGUGAAAGUCGGGGGCUCAACCCUCGGAAGCCGGUGGAUACUGUCGGGCUGGAGUACGGAAGAGGCGAGUGGAAUUCCUGGUGUAGCGGUGAAAUGCGCAGAUAUCAGGAGGAACACCUAUUGCGAAGGCAGCUCGCUGGGACGUUACUGACGCUGAGACGCGAAAGCGUGGGGAGCAAACAGG